UACGGAGGGCGCAAGCGUUACUCGGAAUUAUUGGGCGUAAAGGGCGCGUAGGCGAUUCGAUAAGUCUCAUGUGAAAUCCCAGGGCCUAACCCUGGAAUGGCAUGGGAUACUGUUGGAUUUGAGUUCCGGAGAGGAAGGCAGAAUUCCCGGUGUAGCGGUGAAAUGCGUAGAUAUCUGGAGGAACACCGGUGGCGAAGGCGGCAUCCUGGACCGACACUGACACUGAGGAGCGAAAGCCAGGGGAGCAAACGGG
RNAcentral lists this ribosomal RNA (253 nucleotides) under uncultured bacterium. Its description in RNAcentral is "partial 16S ribosomal RNA". It matches the Rfam family "Bacterial small subunit ribosomal RNA", at positions 524 to 776 of the family's 1533-position model. The record is from RNAcentral.